AGCGAACGCUGGCGGCAGGCCUAACACAUGCAAGUCGAACGAACUCUUCGGAGUUAGUGGCGGACGGGUGAGUAACACGUGGGAACGUGCCUUUAGGUUCGGAAUAACUCAGGGAAACUUGUGCUAAUACCGAAUGUGCCCUUCGGGGGAAAGAUUUAUCGCCUUUAGAGCGGCCCGCGUCUGAUUAGCUAGUUGGUGAGGUAAAGGCUCACCAAGGCGACGAUCAGUAGCUGGUCUGAGAGGAUGAUCAGCCACAUUGGGACUGAGACACGGCCCAAACUCCUACGGGAGGCGGCAGUGGGGAAUCUUGCGCAAUGGGCGAAAGCCUGACGCAGCCAUGCCGCGUGAAUGAUGAAGGUCUUAGGAUUGUAAAAUUCUUUCACCGGGGACGAUAAUGACGGUACCCGGAGAAGAAGCCCCGGCUAACUUCGUG
RNAcentral lists this ribosomal RNA (433 nucleotides) under uncultured bacterium. Its description in RNAcentral is "partial 16S ribosomal RNA". It matches the Rfam family "Bacterial small subunit ribosomal RNA", at positions 29 to 507 of the family's 1533-position model. The record is from RNAcentral.